This 1000-nucleotide small RNA is filed under the name Arabidopsis thaliana (thale cress). RNAcentral's name for it is "ATSL101650". Lineage: Eukaryota; Viridiplantae; Streptophyta; Magnoliopsida; Brassicales; Brassicaceae. The record is from RNAcentral.
UUUUUUUUUGUCAACUACACAUUAAUUAAAAAAUAAUAUCUCCAUGAUUGGUUACCCAAUUAGGAGGAAUAGUGUUUACAAAAGUAAUUUCAGAAAUUAAAAUUCUAGAAGAGCGGGCUAAGCAGUCCGCUCUUACAUUACAAGAAUGAGGGAUAAGGGAAAGAGAGAAAAAGGGGAAACAGAGAAAAAGGGGAAAGAGACGCGAAGCACUCGAAGAUCGUCUAGCAGAUUGGAGAAAGCGGGCCAUUCUUCAGGUGACUGUACCAUGAAAGCUAGCUCUGAACAAUCGGUUUCGAACGCCUGACAAAUGAUCCUUCUUGAAAGGAUACUUUUCAUAGCCCAAAUUAAAGCUUCUAACUCCUAAUGAAGUGGGGAGGUGCCCCUCCUAAGACUUUUAGCACCAAGCAAUAUCGUUUGAUCAUCUCCUUGAAAACACCACCAACCUAAACCCAUAUUUCGAUCUGAAGAUUUCCAUGAACCAUCAAACUGACAUCUUAUAGAUUGAGUUGGGUAGUCCAAAGAACUCGAAAUAGUGGUAGAGUCGAUCGGUUCCAACUGAGCUUCUUCCCACAUUAAUUUUUCACUCAUAGCGUGAUUUAAUAUAUUUGCGGGUUCAGAUUGUAUUCCUUUGAAAACUUUUUUAUUCCUAUCUUUCCAUAUGAACCACAAAAUCCAAGCGUAACAAUAUGUUUUCUCUCCCCCACCUGGAGGGAGUGGUAACCUCCAACAAAGAUAAUCUAGAUUUGAAAGUUCUGAACUUAGAGGAAAGUUUUCUGAUACCAUUGGUAUUUCAGAUAAUUCCCAAGUUUUAUUUUUAAACUUACAGCCCAAUUUUAUUUUUGUUAAGACUGUAGUAGAGUAAAUUUUCAGAGCCCUAUCUUCUUAGCUGUAGAAAUUUUAAUUCAUUAUAUAAUACAAGAAAUUGAAAUUACCAACAUAAAUAUAAAACCAAAAACAAUAAGUUCUAAAAAAACUGAUAAUUAUCAAACCUAAAAGAAAA